Molecule: transfer RNA, 49 nt
Filed under: Parasaissetia nigra
Lineage: Eukaryota; Metazoa; Arthropoda; Insecta; Hemiptera; Coccidae
Description: tRNA-Ser
Source: RNAcentral
AAAGAUAUAAAUUUUUAAGCUUCUAACUUUAAUAUAUAUUAAAUCUUUA